GUACCUACGGGACGCAGCAGUGAGGAAUAUUGGUCAAUGGCCGAGAGGCUGAACCAGCCAAGUCGCGUGAGGGAUGACGGCCCUACGGGUUGUAAACCUCUUUGGACGGGGAGCAAGGCCGCCGACGUGUCGGCGGAAGGAGAGUACCCGUAGAACAAGCAUCGGCUAACUCCGUGCCAGCAGCCGCGGUAAUACGGAGGAUGCGAGCGUUAUCCGGAUUUAUUGGGUUUAAAGGGUGCGCAGGCGGCACGGCAAGCCGGCGGUCAAAUCGCGGGGCUCAACCCCGCCCAGCCGUCGGAACUGCC
Molecule: ribosomal RNA, 305 nt
Filed under: uncultured bacterium
Lineage: Bacteria
Description: bacterial SSU rRNA
Rfam family: Bacterial small subunit ribosomal RNA
Source: RNAcentral